This 405-nucleotide ribosomal RNA is filed under the name uncultured bacterium. RNAcentral describes it as "partial 16S ribosomal RNA". It matches the Rfam family "Bacterial small subunit ribosomal RNA", at positions 28 to 526 of the family's 1533-position model. The record is from RNAcentral.
GAUGAACGCUGGCGGCGUGCCUAAUACAUGCAAGUCGAGCGAAGCGGGGACGGGUGAGUAACACGUGGAUAACCUCCUAUAAGACUGGGAUAACUUCGGGACACCGGAUCUAAACCCGAAACUUAUAGAUGGAUCCGCGCUGCAUUAGCUAGUUGGUAGGGUAACGGCUUACCAAGCCAACGAUGCAUUGCCGACCUGAGAGGGGUAUCGGCCACACUGGAACUGAGACACGGUCCAGACUCCUACGGGAGGCAGCAGUAGGGAAUCUUCCGCAAUGGGCGCAAGCCUGACGGAGCAACGCCGCGUGAGUGAUGAAGGUCUUCGGAUCGUAAAACUCUGUUAUUAGGGAAGCGGUACCUAGUCAGAAAGCCACGGCUAACUACGUGCCAGCAGCCGCGGUAAUAC